UCGUGAAGGAAGAAUGUGCAAU
This 22-nucleotide microRNA is filed under the name Eugenia uniflora (Surinam cherry). RNAcentral describes it as "eun-miR10220-3p". Lineage: Eukaryota; Viridiplantae; Streptophyta; Magnoliopsida; Myrtales; Myrtaceae. The record is from miRBase by way of RNAcentral.